Molecule: ribosomal RNA, 503 nt
Filed under: uncultured bacterium
Lineage: Bacteria
Description: bacterial SSU rRNA
Rfam family: Bacterial small subunit ribosomal RNA
Source: RNAcentral
GAUGAACGCUAGCGACAGGCUUAACACAUGCAAGUCGAGGGGCAUCGGGACGUAGCAAUACGUUGCCGGCGACCGGCGGAUGGGUGAGUAACGCGUAUGCAACCUGCCCACGACAGGGGGAUAGCCCGUUGAAAGACGGAUUAAUACCCCAUAAAACAGGGGUUCCGCAUGGGACUAUUUGUUAAAGGGUUUUCCGCGAGGGGGAUCCGGUUGUGGAUGGGCAUGCGUUCCAUUAGGCAGUUGGUGGGGUAACGGCUCACCAAACCGACGAUGGAUAGGGGAACCGGGAGGUUGGUCCCCCACACUGGUACUGAGAUACGGACCAGACUCCUACGGGAGGCAGCAGUGAGGAAUUUUGGUCAAUGGACGGAAGUCUGAACCAGCCAAGUCGCGUGAAGGAAGGCGGCCCUAAGGGUUGUAAACUUCUUUUAGUAAGGGAAUAAAGGCCGGUACGCGUUACCGGUUUGCAGGUACCUUACGAAUAAGGAUCGGCUAACUCCGUG